Molecule: long non-coding RNA, 361 nt
Organism: Cyprinus carpio (common carp)
Lineage: Eukaryota; Metazoa; Chordata; Actinopteri; Cypriniformes; Cyprinidae
Source: Ensembl
GCGUUCCAGUGUGAGUACUAAUUAUCAAUUGUUUUACUAUUUGAGCUAAUGUUGUAUUUUCUCUCAGACCCUCUUCUCGGGAAUCGGUAGUGUUUGGCUGAUAUUUGCCUUGCUUGAGUUUAUCAUCUCCAUCUAUCUAUCAUCUUUUGCCUGUAAAGCCACUUCCUGCUGUUAUCCACAGGUUCCGUAUGUUGCACAAGGUUUACCUCCACUGCCCUGUGAUUUUAGGCCCUGUCAUUAACAUAAACCUAAGAGCCCAAAGAUAUCUGUGAUCAGCAACCCUUCCAUGAAUCACCAACCUGCAGAAAUUCCUCCACAAUACAGUGAAAUAUAAAUAAAUAUGAAUAGUAAAAAGGGGUCA